AAGUGGCCGGCUAGAGCCGGGGGCUGGGCGGGGACCGGGCUUGUCGGUGAAGCGGCAGUGGCGGCGGCGGCGGCGGCUCGGCAGGCGGGUUCAGGCUUCGGGGGCCAGCCGCCGCCAUGAUCCUGCUGGAGGUGAACAACCGCAUCAUCGAGGAGACGCUCGCGCUCAAGUUCGAGAACGCGGCCGCCGGAAACAAACCGGAAGCAGUAGAAGUAACAUUUGCAGAUUUCGAUGGGGUCCUCUAUCAUAUUUCAAAUCCUAAUGGAGACAAAACAAAAGUGAUGGUCAGUAUUUCUUUGAAAUUCUACAAGGAACUUCAGGCACAUGGUGCUGAUGAGUUAUUAAAGAGGGUGUACGGGAGUUUCUUGGUAAAUCCAGAAUCAGGUAUGUAGUCAUGUGAGCAACUAUGGAAUGACAUGGGAAGAGAGGUGUCCUUUUUAUAUUACGCUUUUUUUACCCAAAGGAUUUCGUUUAAAUAUUACAAAUAUUUCUGCAUGAGCCCAUUCCUAAUUUCAACUCCCUCCAUAAAAAUAGCUUUUAAGGGGCUUUGCUUUGUCCAGUAUGGAACACAGUAGGGGUACAAAAUUGAUGUAUGACAUUUUUAACAUUUAUUUGAUGGGGCCACAUGACUCUUACUUAAUCUUUCAGCCAGAGGGCCACAUUUGUUUGUUCAUGGUGAUUAAAAUGGCUUUGAAAAGAAUGAGCAAACAUUGAUUCCCACCCUCAGCCCUUAGUAAUUCUGCAUACUACAUAUUUGGAGAAAGAAGAGGAAUAUUCACCACACUAUUCUUGUGAUUUCAAGUAAUAAAAAUCAGACCCUUUCUUAAUCCAGUCUUCUAAUAGGUUGUCUCAACAUUCAUGGCCAGAGGAAUUGAAAGGCACCGUGUCAUCCUUGAAUAGAACAGCUAUGUUAUACUGCUUUAAAAAGGAGGUUUAAAGUGGAAAAACUGAACAGCCUUUUUACCCUGUGAUUCAGUGGCAUGUCUCAAAUUCUGAGGCAUUUAGCAGGACCCCAAAGUGAGAACCAGGUAGUAAG
RNAcentral lists this small RNA (1036 nucleotides) under Pan troglodytes (chimpanzee). RNAcentral describes it as "retained intron". The record is from RNAcentral. Lineage: Eukaryota; Metazoa; Chordata; Mammalia; Primates; Hominidae.